CCUGACCUUCCCCAUUCGCUCAAACCAUAACACACGUGAAUAUACUAACAAAAUCCCUAAAUCAACGCGUACUGUUCUUCUUCUCCGAAGAACACACGAACCAAGCCCCAAAUUCCGUCCUAAUCCGGGCAAGUGAAUCCCAAAUCCUAACCCAUGCAUCCCUCCUUCUCUCAUCUCACCAUUUCUAACAGUUUCUGACAUUGAAGAUGCUCCUCCCCUUCACUCGCUCAAAUCAGAAAUGAGGCACACGAUUGGAAGGUCCUAGAGACGAUUCGUUGGAUGAGGGUGAGUUGUUGGAUUGAUUUUGUUCAAUCCAAGCCCCAUUUUUACCAAGGGUUCGUCUCUAUAAAGGAAAAUAUCUGAUUUAAGAGAGGAGGUUUUUUUUUCCGGAGGAUUUCUCGGCAGAUUUUGAGAGUAAGUUAAAAUUCUAGAGAUUAGUCUUUUUCAUCUUUAUUGUUGAUUUUCAUUCGUAUUAACUUCAAAAAAUAUAUUCAAAAAAUGUUCGAUAUUCUGUGAUUCCACUGUUGUUUGUUUUACUGUCUACCAGCUUCGAAAUACAUGAAUUCCGUCUUCAAAGUUACUGGAAUUCGUUGUUGAUCGAGGCAUCGAUUUGUGGCUGAUGUUGCUUUGUGUCGAUUUCAGUGUU
This 646-nucleotide long non-coding RNA is filed under the name Nicotiana benthamiana. RNAcentral's name for it is "long non-coding RNA (NBEN_LNC021697)". The record is from RNAcentral. Lineage: Eukaryota; Viridiplantae; Streptophyta; Magnoliopsida; Solanales; Solanaceae.